This 393-nucleotide ribosomal RNA is filed under the name uncultured bacterium. RNAcentral describes it as "partial 16S ribosomal RNA". It matches the Rfam family "Bacterial small subunit ribosomal RNA", at positions 523 to 918 of the family's 1533-position model. The record is from RNAcentral.
AUACGUAGGGGGCGAGCGUUGUCCGGAAUUACUGGGCGUAAAGGGCGCGUAGGCGGCCAAAUAAGUCAGAUGUGAAACCCCUCGGCUCAACUUAGGGCUUGCAUUUGAAACUGAUUGGCUUGAGUGUCGGAGAGGGAAGCGGAAUUCCUAGUGUAGCGGUGAAAUGCGUAGAUAUGACGAAGAACACCGAUUGCGUAGGCAGCUGACCAGACCGCAAAUGACGCUCAUGCACGAAAGUGCGGGGAUCGAACAGGAUUAGAUACCCUGGUAGUCCGCACAGUAAACGAUGAAUACUUGUUUUCGGCGAUAUAAUGUCGGAGGCAAAGCGAAAGCGAUAAGUAUUCCACCUGGGGAGUACGCCGGCAACGGUGAAACUCAAAUGAAUUGACGGGG